UAGGGAAUCUUCGGCAAUGGGGGCAACCCUGACCGAGCAACGCCGCGUGAGUGAAGAAGGUUUUCGGAUCGUAAAGCUCUGUUGUAAGUCAAGAACGGGUGUGAGAGUGGAAAGUUCACACUGUGACGGUAGCUUACCAGAAAGGGACGGCUAACUACGUGCCAGCAGCCGCGGUAAUACGUAGGUCCCGAGCGUUGUCCGGAUUUAUUGGGCGUAAAGCGANCGCAGGCGGUUUGAUAAGUCU
This 244-nucleotide ribosomal RNA is filed under the name uncultured bacterium. Its description in RNAcentral is "partial 16S ribosomal RNA". It matches the Rfam family "Bacterial small subunit ribosomal RNA", at positions 355 to 590 of the family's 1533-position model. The record is from RNAcentral.